GGGCACUUACCCUUUAGUGCGAAGGUUUCGACCUUCGAUCCAUUUGUUCGCAAAUGGGAUGAUCUUCGGAUCAUCCGCGUAGUCUGUUCAGUCGUUUCGACGACUGGCCCCACUUCGGUGGGGCCACGGUACUUAGAAGUGAACACUAAGUGUCGUGAACACCAUUUGGUUAACUGCUCAAACUAAAUGGUGAUGAGGGAAGGAAUGACCCUCAUCGGACUACGCGAUCCGAGUGAUGGGAAUGGCUGACCCAUCGCUCGGCACUGGAGGGUGAGUGCCCCUCAUUCGCAUAAGGGCCGACCCAGACAACAGCCAAGUUUGGGUCGGAGAUGCGAACAUUCCACGCAUCUGAACGGUUGAGAACUUACAAGGGCAAGAGCAGAGUCCUUGUAAGGGCUUUACACGUCAAGUUCACAGACGUGUAAGGCCCGUCGCCCUUCGGGGCGACGUUCACGGCAUUUCGAUGCCGUGCAGCCUGUUCGCAGGCUGCUUGACCGUUCCCCUGCCCUUUCGAGGGCAGACUACUCUUCGGAGUAGUCUUAUGUGAAUGAG
RNAcentral lists this unclassified non-coding RNA (552 nucleotides) under synthetic construct. RNAcentral describes it as "Chains: Q from synthetic construct (PDB 7QDU, chain Q)". The record is from RNAcentral. RNAcentral also lists the same sequence under 1 other name.